Molecule: ribosomal RNA, 430 nt
Filed under: uncultured bacterium
Lineage: Bacteria
Description: partial 16S ribosomal RNA
Rfam family: Bacterial small subunit ribosomal RNA
Source: RNAcentral
GUGGGGAAUAUUGCACAAUGGGCGCAAGCCUGAUGCAGCAACGCCGCGUGAGGGAUGACGGCCUUCGGGUUGUAAACCUCUUUUAGUAGGGAAGAAGCGAAAGUGACGGUACCUGCAGAAAAAGCACCGGCUAACUACGUGCCAGCAGCCGCGGUAAUACGUAGGGUGCAAGCGUUGUCCGGAAUUAUUGGGCGUAAAGAGCUCGUAGGCGGCUUGUCGCGUCUGCUGUGAAAUCCCGGGGCUCAACCCCGAGCCUGCAGUGGGUACGGGCAGGCUAGAGUGCGGUAGGGGAGAUUGGAAUUCCUGGUGUAGCGGUGGAAUGCGCAGAUAUCAGGAGGAACACCGAUGGCGAAGGCAGAUCUCUGGGCCUGCACUGACGCUCAUGCACGAAAGCGUGGGGAGCAAACAGGAUUAGAAACCCGGGUAGUCC